AGAGUUUGAUUAUGGCUCAGGAUGAACGCUGGCGGCAUGCCUAACACAUGCAAGUCGAACGGGGUUUAUAUGACAGAACUCUCCGGAGGGAAGAUAUAUAAACCUAGUGGCGGACGGGUGAGUAACGCGUGGGCAACCUGCCCUGUACCGGGGGACAACAGCCAGAAAUGGCUGCUAAUACCGCAUAAGCCUGCUGUGCCGCAUGGCACAGCAGGGAAAACCACGGUGGUACAGGAUGGGCCCGCGUCUGAUUAGUUAGUUGGCAGGGUAACGGCCUACCAAGACAACGAUCAGUAGCCGGCUUGAGAGAGUGGACGGCCACAUUGGGACUGAGACACGGCCCAGACUCCUGCGGGAGGCAGCAGUGGGGAAUAUUGCACAAUGGGGGGAACCCUGAUGCAGCAAUGCCGCGUGGGUGAAGAAGCACUCCGGUGCGUAAAGCCCUGUCAGCAGGGAAGAAAAUGACAGUACCUGGACAAGAAGCCCCGGCUAACUACGUGCCAGCAGCCGCGGUAAUACGUAGGGGGCAAGCGUUAUCCGGAUUUACUGGGUGUAAAGGGAGCGCAGGCGGCGUGGCAAGUCAGAUGUGAAAACCCGGGGCCCAACCCCGGGAGUGCAUUUGAAACUGCCAUGCUGGAGUGCCGGAGAGGUAAGCGGAAUUC
RNAcentral lists this ribosomal RNA (662 nucleotides) under uncultured bacterium. RNAcentral describes it as "bacterial SSU rRNA". It matches the Rfam family "Bacterial small subunit ribosomal RNA", at positions 8 to 669 of the family's 1533-position model. The record is from RNAcentral.